This 301-nucleotide ribosomal RNA is filed under the name uncultured bacterium. RNAcentral describes it as "partial 16S ribosomal RNA". It matches the Rfam family "Bacterial small subunit ribosomal RNA", at positions 509 to 809 of the family's 1533-position model. The record is from RNAcentral.
CAGCAGCCGCGGGAAUACAGAGGGUGCGAGCGUUAAUCGGAUUUACUGGGCGUAAAGCGUGCGUAGGCGGCUUCUUAAGUCGGAUGUGAAAUCCCUGAGCUUAACUUAGGAAUUGCAUUCGAUACUGGGAAGCUAGAGUAUGGGAGAGGAUGGUAGAAUUCCAGGUGUAGCGGUGAAAUGCGUAGAGAUCUGGAGGAAUACCGAUGGCGAAGGCAGCCAUCUGGCCUAAUACUGACGCUGAGGUACGAAAGCAUGGGGAGCAAACAGGAUUAGAGACCCCCGUAGUCCCUGUCUCUUAUAA